This is a non-coding RNA of Cinara cedri, 1194 nucleotides long. Lineage: Eukaryota; Metazoa; Arthropoda; Insecta; Hemiptera; Aphididae. The record is from the annotation of a GenBank genome assembly.
GAUAAAUUUACAAUAAAUAUUUUCAAAUAAAUAAUAAUAUUCAAGAAUUCACAUUUGUAUUAAAAUAGUUUUAAAAAGUAGUUUUGAACAAAUACUAUACACUAAUACUAUAGCCCCGCCUAAUCUUUAUCGUAAUUGAAUGACGCUGUUUUUACAUAUUCAUACCGCGCGUUAAUUUUCUUGUUUUUAUGGUUUUCAAUUGGUUUUUUUUUUUUUUUUAAUACAGUUUUAUCGUUUGGUCGGAUUUUAGUCCGGCAUAAUAUGGACCGGUAGAAUAGGUGACUGUUCUAAAGUCAACAGCCGAUUGUGUACAUAUGUAUUGUAUAUAGUAAACGUUCAUCCAAUAAUACGAGAAGAAUUCAGUACGCCCGCAUUGAAAAUAUGUUGCGAAUACCGUACGCAUUGAUAAUUUAUUAUAGCUAUGCACAAUACGCGAGUGUUAUGCCGGCUCUGCGUGGUAUAUAAUUAGGCGACCCACAUUUUGUUUGAAAAUAAUUCGAUAGAAAACGCGUGUACGAGAAUUAUUCGAGCAGAGAAAUAUUAACGUGUUUUAGUCGACAGAUAAUUUGUACGGAAAUAAAACGCUAGGGAAAUAUUCUACCGGAAAUCCGUAAAUAAAUUUGUCGGGAAACAAUUGAUUACAAACGUGUUCAGUUUGCAAAUCCGUCGUAUUAAAUACGAACAGAGCGCGCUGUUGAACAGGCAAGCGACGGCUACAGGCUGUGUUCGUAUCUACGGUCGCGGUAACGUCGUUGGUAGACAAUAUCGUGUUCGCGGAUGAUACCGAUGAGUUGACGGGCCGAUGUAAUUGAUUAACAUUGGGCGGCGUUGAGCAAUGCGGGCUACGGACCAGAUGCGUCCAAGUGUAUAUCAUCGUAACCGUGUACCGUAGCAGAGAAACCGACGUUCAGCGGUUUCGCAGAUGACGUGCGAGUUGCAACAGUCGCGGUGUGUAUAGACGAUACGAGAUAACAGCGUGAGCGCCUGUGUUACGGGUUUGUUUUGCACCGGAACCGGUGCGCUAACGAAACACGUCCGCGCCCGAUGUCAUUCGGAUAAUGUGUUUUCCGUCCGAAAUACGGUUCGACGCAAACGUUUCUCGCACGGUUCGUUCGUUUUUCUGGCAACGCACCGCCGCGACGGAACAAUACCGCGAAACGCCCCGCGGCCGGGAUCGAUUUUACGCGAAAACCC